Molecule: long non-coding RNA, 2492 nt
Organism: Brassica rapa (field mustard)
Lineage: Eukaryota; Viridiplantae; Streptophyta; Magnoliopsida; Brassicales; Brassicaceae
Source: RefSeq, a predicted model, not a curated record
UAUGCUUGGUAAAUUUAUUUAUUUAUAAUUUUUUAACUUAUUAAGGAAAUAUUAUAUGAAAAAUAUAAUAGAUUUUACAUUUUUCAUUCAACAUAUUUUUAAUUUAUGCAUAAUUUUUAAAUUACAAUAACCGAAAUAUUUAAUAAUAUUUAUUGAGUAGAAGUUGGGGAUAUUUUUUUUAAUGUCUAUAUUUUAAGAUUAGUUUUGGAAAAUUCAGUUACCAUGUUAAACAGUUAAAAUAUUUUCUGCGUGUUCCUCAAGUUAGGAGAUUUUCUUUUUUAUUUGAUUUGAUUCCAUAAAUCUCUUAAAUAAGAUUUUUCGCUACUGCAUGGGCCUAAGAAAACAUAAAUGUAAGUAGAAAAUACGUUGGACUUUUUUUAUCAAUCGAAUAACACUGAAAAUAAUUUAAAUAGAGAAUGAAAUGUUUUGUAAUUAGUAGUAAAUUUCAGGGGCAGAUUCAUAAAAAGUAUUCUGUUUUAAUAGUAUAGAUAACAAAGUUCGGUAGGCCUCUGCUAAUUACGAAGCGGAUCGGUUACCAUAAGAAGCCCAAAAUAUCCCUGGGCAGUUCACGUUUUGACCGGUUGACACGACACCAUUUAGCUGCUUAUUAGGCAACUAAAGACUUUCCGUACGUUGAACAAAAAAAAAAAACUUUCCGUACAAAAUAACAAAAAAUGUGUUGAGCUUGCUUUUGAGACACAUGUGUGUCCUACUAACGUGCACGUGCGUAUCUAGACCUGUCUGGUUUAACCGGUCGGAGUCCAGUAAGCAUAUAAAAAACGAAAUUGGACGGAAUAGGGCCAACUCCACCUACUUUCGCUAACUUUUGGCCCAAAAUGUGAGGGUAAAUCACGUCAUCUUAAAAUCCUAAAAACCAAAGAUCAAAUACUACUAACUAGGUGUUUUCUUACUACCUAGGUGCAGUAAUUCAAUUUUGAAAUUUAAAUUAUAUUUAAAAAUAAAAUUUUAUUAUUUUCUUACUAAUAUUUUAAUAUAAAUUGUUUAUUUAAUUAGACAUAAAAUAAAGAUAAAAUAAAAAAAAUUGUUUAUUUUAAUUUAUGUUUAAAAAUAGAUUUGAAUAUAUUUAAAAUUAUAAUCUUAGACAAUGUUUUUUAUCUACUUCUUUUAGAUAAAAAUAUAUUAAAUAAAUUUGUAUAAAAUUAAAAAAAUAAUUGAUAUAAUAUUGUAUAAUAAUAAAAAAUUAUAACUAAGCAGUAUUUCUAAAUUUCGUAGAUAUAAAAGAAAUUGAUAAAUAUUACGAUUAAAAUUUUAUAAUUUUUUUUUAAAAAAAGUUAAAAACAAUUGUAGUAAUAAAAUUGUAUAAUCAAAAUAGAAAUAAAUAACAUUUGAAAAUUUGAAAAUUUUAUUAUAUUUUUAUUAUUAUACUAUUUAAUGUCAUAUUUGAAUAGAUUUAGUGAUUUACUUUAAUGGUAAUGUAUAAUUUACAAUUAUAUUCUAUAAAUUUUACUACAUACAAUAUAUGAAUAACCAUUAAAUGUAAAUAUCUAUGUCACAUCAACCAUAAGACAUGUUAUCAUCUAUAUAUAUAUAAAAAUGUUGGUGGUUUUCCUGGGAGUCCACGUGGAAACUCCGUUUCUGUAAAGCCAACACGUGUCCACGCUUCUCUCCACAUCGUUUCAUUUAAGUGAAUUCUUCUUGGGCUUUAUUUUGUUAUAAUUCGUGAUGGGCUUCUAACCCUAAUAUAGAUUCACAAAAAAAAAAAAAAAAAAAAAGAAAAUCCUUCUUCUUCUUCGACGCCGGGGACUUUCACGAUUCUUUAUUAGAUCUGAAACGGGAAAGAGCUGGAGAAAAGACUGACUAAGACUGAACGGUAGAGAAGGCGAGAGUCACCACCACCGGUCUCCUCUCUCUCACCGUCUCUCUCCUCUCUGCGCCACGCAGGAUCUCUCUCUCUCCCUGCCUCGCUAUGUCACGGAAAGUUGGAGGAGGCAGAGAAGCUUGAUGGAGGAGGACGGAGAAGAAGCUUCACGGGGUGGAAGAAGCUGGACGAACAGACGGUGGAAGAGGCAGGAUGAAAAAGGCGGAGGUUUAGUUUUGUAUUUUUUAUGGAGAGUUCAACAAGAAGACGGCGGCCUCUAGAUUAGGUUUAGUUUUGCAUUUUUUUUUUAAUUUUGUUUAAUGGUGUAAACCAAUUUGAAAUUACAAACCGGUUCAAAUAUUUUGUAAACCUGUUUUAAUAUAUACAUUCUAUAUUUAUAUGUACUUUUCAAUUUCGUAAUGUAAUACCACAACUCUACAAGAACAAAAAGUCUUUGAAGAGUCUUUUGGUCCUCACUUAGAUCCCUUUUCCCACUUAAAUUUUGUGGGCGUGAUUUAUAAAGAGACAUUCCUUUGAUGGUUUCUGUUUUGUGAUGAAAGAUCAUAGAUAUUAUUUCUUUUUUGGAAGAUUAGAGAGAUUUUUGCUCAAUUAAACCUUUAACCAAGUUUCUUUUUUUUUCCUCUUUAAUUAUAUUAGUGAAUGAUUAUUAUUA